RNAcentral lists this unclassified non-coding RNA (498 nucleotides) under Hevea brasiliensis (rubber tree). The record is from RNAcentral. Lineage: Eukaryota; Viridiplantae; Streptophyta; Magnoliopsida; Malpighiales; Euphorbiaceae.
GCUCGUGUAAGGCUCUGAAAAAGAGUUACAUUCAUGGCUUAUCAUCUAGAAGGUAAACUUACAGAUUCUAAAUCAGGAAUUUCAACUGUAGUUGCCCCAUAUAGUCUGACAAGAAUUGUUGACGCAUAAACAACAGUAUUAUCUGCCGUACACUGGUUCACUACAAACUCAUUAAGAUAUACAAUCAGAUGAUAAUUGUUCCUUCUCAUAAUGCAUCGCGGGCAGCUAUUCGGCAUGUAAUGGCAUCUGCAAGAGUGGAUAUCCCUGCUUCCAGACCAGAAAUUUUGUAGUGCUUUUGUAUUUGAGCUUGGUUUGCUCUUCCCUCCAAUUCUUCCAAAUCGAUUUCUUUUCCAUUGAUGAGUUUCUCUACAGCUUUCAUCUCAUCUAAAGAAGCAUUGAAACGAGCUGCAAGGAUGUAUGUAGAGGUUUCAGAGAUUCCACAUCUUUUCAAAGAUUCUGUAAUAUGUUUGGAUCCUGAGUAAUUAUAAACAAGUUCAG